This 253-nucleotide ribosomal RNA is filed under the name uncultured bacterium. RNAcentral's name for it is "partial 16S ribosomal RNA". It matches the Rfam family "Bacterial small subunit ribosomal RNA", at positions 524 to 776 of the family's 1533-position model. The record is from RNAcentral.
UACAGAGGGUGCGAGCGUUGUUCGGAAUUAUUGGGCGUAAAGGGCGCGUAGGCGGUGCGGUAAGUCACCUGUGAAAUCUCCUGGCUCAACUGGGAGCUUGCAGGCGAAACUGCCGUGCUGGAGUGUGGGAGAGGUGCGUGGAAUUCCUGGUGUAGCGGUGAAAUGCGUAGAUAUCAGGAGGAACACCUGUGGCGAAAGCGGCGCACUGGACCAUUACUGACGCUGAUGCACGAAAGCUAGGGGAGCAAACAGG